UUAACUCAAAUUUGUAUGGAGUUGAAACGUUUGCUUAUGUUUGUCGCUAGGGGUGCUGCUCCAACUGGAUAUAAGUUUGAGUUA
This 84-nucleotide microRNA precursor is filed under the name Bombyx mori (domestic silkworm). RNAcentral's name for it is "mir-2807 microRNA precursor family". It matches the Rfam family "mir-2807 microRNA precursor family". Lineage: Eukaryota; Metazoa; Arthropoda; Insecta; Lepidoptera; Bombycidae. The record is from Rfam by way of RNAcentral.